GGGCCUAUAGCUCAGCGGUAGAGCCACCGGCUCAUAACCGGUUGGUCCUUGGUUCGAUCCCACGUGGGCCCACCA
This 75-nucleotide transfer RNA is filed under the name Megasphaera sp. Its description in RNAcentral is "tRNA-Ile". It matches the Rfam family "tRNA". From Rfam's summary of the family: Transfer RNA (tRNA) molecules are approximately 80 nucleotides in length. Their secondary structure includes four short double-helical elements and three loops (D, anti-codon, and T loops). Lineage: Bacteria; Bacillati; Bacillota; Negativicutes; Veillonellales; Veillonellaceae. The record is from RNAcentral.